UCAGUGUGUGUGUUAGUGGAAGCGUCUGGAAAGGCGCGCGAUACAGGGUGACAGCCCCGUACACAAAAAUGCACAUGCUGUGAGCUCGAUGAGUAGGGCGGGACACGUGGUAUCCUGUCUGAAUAUGGGGGGACCAUCCUCCAAGGCUAAAUACUCCUGACUGACCGAUAGUGAACCAGUACCGUGAGGGAAAGGCGAAAAGAACCCCGGCGAGGGGAGUGAAAAAGAACCUGAAACCGUGUACGUACAAGCAGUGGGAGCACGCUUAGGCGUGUGACUGCGUACCUUUUGUAUAAUGGGUCAGCGACUUAUAUUCUGUAGCAAGGUUAACCGAAUAGGGGAGCCGAAGGGAAACCGAGUCUUAACUGGGCGUUAAGUUGCAGGGUAUAGACCCGAAACCCGGUGAUCUAGCCAUGGGCAGGUUGAAGGUUGGGUAACACUAACUGGAGGACCGAACCGACUAAUGUUGAAAAAUUAGCGGAUGACUUGUGGCUGGGGGUGAAAGGCCAAUCAAACCGGGAGAUAGCUGGUUCUCCCCGAAAGCUAUUUAGGUAGCGCCUCGUGAAUUCAUCUCCGGGGGUAGAGCACUGUUUCGGCAAGGGGGUCAUCCCGACUUACCAACCCGAUGCAAACUGCGAAUACCGGAGAAUGUUAUCACGGGAGACACACGGCGGGUGCUAACGUCCGUCGUGAAGAGGGAAACAACCCAGACCGCCAGCUAAGGUCCCA
RNAcentral lists this ribosomal RNA (729 nucleotides) under Escherichia coli. RNAcentral describes it as "partial 23S ribosomal RNA". It matches the Rfam family "Bacterial large subunit ribosomal RNA", at positions 317 to 1049 of the family's 2925-position model. Lineage: Bacteria; Pseudomonadati; Pseudomonadota; Gammaproteobacteria; Enterobacterales; Enterobacteriaceae. The record is from RNAcentral.